RNAcentral lists this ribosomal RNA (290 nucleotides) under uncultured stramenopile. RNAcentral describes it as "partial 18S ribosomal RNA". It matches the Rfam family "Eukaryotic small subunit ribosomal RNA", at positions 1543 to 1831 of the family's 1831-position model. The record is from RNAcentral.
UGGGUAAUCUUUGAACGUGAAUCGUGAUGGGGAUAGAUGAUUGCAAUUAUUCAUCUUCAACGAGGAAUUCCUAGUAAACGCAAGUCAUCAGCUUGCAUUGAUUACGUCCCUGCCCUUUGUACACACCGCCCGUCGCACCUACCGAUUGAAUGGUCCGGUGAAAUCUUCGGAUCUGAGAGAUGUCUGAUUAAUUUCGGACGCCUUUUGGAAAAGUUGCUUAAACCUUACCAUUUAGAGGAAGGUGAAGUCGUAACAAGGUUUCCGUAGGUGAACCUGCGGAAGGAUCAUUA